This 1243-nucleotide long non-coding RNA is filed under the name Equus caballus (horse). RNAcentral describes it as "lncRNA (ENSECAG00000045881.1)". Lineage: Eukaryota; Metazoa; Chordata; Mammalia; Perissodactyla; Equidae. The record is from RNAcentral.
CUCACCUGUGUUUCAUGUGUGGCUCCCCUGUGGUUCAUGUGUGGUUCAAGCAUCGAACAUGUGUGUUUCAGAUGUGGUUCAAGGGUGUCUCGCAUGUGGUUCAUGCACGGCUCACACAUGGAUUGGGCGUGAUUCAGGCGUGGCUCACACACGACUAGUGUGUGUCCCAGAUGGUAGAGGACACUUUCACACGUGGUUCCAGCCUAGCUCAGCCAUGGCUCACAAGUGAUGCAGGCGUGCCACUGAACUGGCUCACCUGUGGCUGACACAUGAUUCAGGCUUUUGUCACGCAUGGCUCCCACAUGGCUAAGGUGUGGCUCAUGCAUGGCUGAGGUGUUGGUGAGGUGUGGCUCACAUGUGUUUGUCUCAUGGUGGGCAUGUGGGACAGGCAUGGUCGGCACGUUGUGCCAGUGUGGCAACACAUGCUUCAAGUGAGGCUGACCUGUGGUUCAAGUGUGACUGGCACUUGUUUCAGGCCUGGAUGGCAUGUGACUUUGGCACAGCUGAGAAGUGACUCAGGCGUGGCUCACACGUUAUUCAGGCGAGGCUGACACUACACAGUUGAGGUGGCCGAAGGACACUAUAGUGCCUGACACGUCAUGCAGGUGUGGUUCACACAUGGUUCAUGCAUGGACUUCGUGUGGUUCAGGGUUGGCUGGUGCAUGGUCCACGCAUUGGUGGCAGGUGGUUCAGGCGUGGCUGAAAUGUGACUCCGGCAUGUGUGAAACAGGACUCCGGUGUGGCUGACACAUGUGUCAGGCAUGGCUGACACAUGACUCAGGCAUUCAUCGCCCAGUAUCCAUGUGUGACGGAAAUGAGAUCAUGCAGGAGUCACAUGCCGUACAUCGUCGGCUCCCACGUGACUAGAGGUUGCUGAAACAUGGCUCUCAAAUACUCAGUCACAGCCUCCAAGUGGCUCACGCAUGGCUCAGCUGUGUUUCAUGGGUGGCUACCCUGUGGUUUGUGCGUGGUUCAAGCAUGGAACAUGUGUGUUUCCCAGGUUCUUCAGAUGUGGUUCAAGGGUGUCUCCCAUGUGGUUCCUGCAUGGCUCACACAUGGUUCGGGUGUUAUUCAGGCGUGGAUCUCACACGACUCGUCUGGGUCACAUAUGUUUGAGGACACUCUAACCCGUGCUUCAGGGAUAGUUACGCCAUGGCUCACACGUGACUCAGACGUUCCACAGAACUGGCUCCCAUGUGGCUGACACAUGAUACAGGCUUCGGUCAUGCAUGGCUCACACAUG